UGUAGUCUCGCACAGAUGCAUAUCAAUAAGCGGAGGAAAAGAAACUAACAAGGAUUCCCCUAGUAACGGCGAGUGAAGCGGGAAGAGCUCAAAUUUGAAAUCUUAAAGGGUUUCCCUUUACGAAUUGUAGUUUAAAGAAGUGUUUUCUGUUGAGGUUUUGGUAAGAGUUCUUUGGAAUAGGACAUCAUAGAGGGUGAGAAUCCCGUAUUUGACCUUUACUUUCAACUUUGUGAUACACUUUCAAAGAGUCGGAUUGUUUGGGAAUGCAGUCCAAAAUGGGUGGUAAAUUUCAUCUAAAGCUAAAUAUUGGCGAGAGACCGAUAGCGAACAAGUACCGUGAGGGAAAGAUGAAAAGAACUUUGAAAAGAGAGUUAAACAGUACGUGAAAUUGUCAAAAGGGAAGCGUUUGACACCAGUGUUGUUUUUCUGAAAAUCAAUUAAAGAACUGUUUAUGCUAAGCUGUUUAGACUUUAUCAGCUGAUCUGUUUAGUUUUGAGCUUUUCUUUAAUGCACUUUUCAGUUAACAAGUCAACAUCAAUUUCUCUUGCUGUAAAAAAGCUUGAGGAAGGUGGCUUGAGAUUCGUCUUAAGUGUUUAUAGCCUCUUGCCUAUGCAGUCGGAGAGAUUGAGGUCUACAGCGUAGAUCCUUCGGGGCUAAAUGCAUUUGUGCUAAGUUAUAGCAUUUCAUAGACAACUUGUUGACUAUGAUUUGUCUUGUAGCUUACUCGCUUAUGUUAUUUUACCUACGCUUAGGAUGUUGACAGCAGUAUAGACUGU
This 776-nucleotide ribosomal RNA is filed under the name uncultured Neocallimastigales. RNAcentral's name for it is "partial large subunit ribosomal RNA". It matches the Rfam family "Eukaryotic large subunit ribosomal RNA", at positions 24 to 637 of the family's 3401-position model. Lineage: Eukaryota; Fungi; Neocallimastigomycota; Neocallimastigomycetes; Neocallimastigales. The record is from RNAcentral.